RNAcentral lists this ribosomal RNA (460 nucleotides) under uncultured bacterium. RNAcentral's name for it is "partial 16S ribosomal RNA". It matches the Rfam family "Bacterial small subunit ribosomal RNA", at positions 338 to 795 of the family's 1533-position model. The record is from RNAcentral.
CCUACGGGAGGCAGCAGUGAGGAAUAUUGGUCAAUGGACGAGAGUCUGAACCAGCCAAGUAGCGUGAAGGAUGACUGCCCUAUGGGUUGUAAACUUCUUUUAUAAAGGAAUAAAACGAGGCACGUGUGCCUUUUUGCAUGUACCUUAUGAAUAAGGAUCGGCUAACUCCGUGCCAGCAGCCGCGGUAAUACGGAGGAUCCGUGCGUUAUCCGGAUGUAUUGGGUUUAAAGGGAGCGUAGAUGGGUUGUUAAGUCAGUUGUGAAAGUUUGCGGCUCAACCGUAAAAUUGCAAUUGAUACUGGCAGUCUUGAGUGCAGUUGAGGUAGGCGGAAUUCGUGGUGUAGCGGUGAAAUGCAUAGAUAUCACGAAGAACCCCGAUUGCGAAGGCAGCUUACUAAACUGUAACUGACGUUGAUGCACGAAAGUGUGGGUAUCAAACAGGAUUAGAUACCCGAGUAGUC